RNAcentral lists this ribosomal RNA (1550 nucleotides) under Salmonella enterica subsp. enterica serovar Heidelberg str. 21381. Its description in RNAcentral is "bacterial SSU rRNA". It matches the Rfam family "Bacterial small subunit ribosomal RNA". Lineage: Bacteria; Pseudomonadati; Pseudomonadota; Gammaproteobacteria; Enterobacterales; Enterobacteriaceae. The record is from RNAcentral.
AAAUUGAAGAGUUUGAUCAUGGCUCAGAUUGAACGCUGGCGGCAGGCCUAACACAUGCAAGUCGAACGGUAACAGGAAGCAGCUUGCUGCUUUGCUGACGAGUGGCGGACGGGUGAGUAAUGUCUGGGAAACUGCCUGAUGGAGGGGGAUAACUACUGGAAACGGUGGCUAAUACCGCAUAACGUCGCAAGACCAAAGAGGGGGACCUUCGGGCCUCUUGCCAUCAGAUGUGCCCAGAUGGGAUUAGCUUGUUGGUGAGGUAACGGCUCACCAAGGCGACGAUCCCUAGCUGGUCUGAGAGGAUGACCAGCCACACUGGAACUGAGACACGGUCCAGACUCCUACGGGAGGCAGCAGUGGGGAAUAUUGCACAAUGGGCGCAAGCCUGAUGCAGCCAUGCCGCGUGUAUGAAGAAGGCCUUCGGGUUGUAAAGUACUUUCAGCGGGGAGGAAGGUGUUGUGGUUAAUAACCACAGCAAUUGACGUUACCCGCAGAAGAAGCACCGGCUAACUCCGUGCCAGCAGCCGCGGUAAUACGGAGGGUGCAAGCGUUAAUCGGAAUUACUGGGCGUAAAGCGCACGCAGGCGGUCUGUCAAGUCGGAUGUGAAAUCCCCGGGCUCAACCUGGGAACUGCAUUCGAAACUGGCAGGCUUGAGUCUUGUAGAGGGGGGUAGAAUUCCAGGUGUAGCGGUGAAAUGCGUAGAGAUCUGGAGGAAUACCGGUGGCGAAGGCGGCCCCCUGGACAAAGACUGACGCUCAGGUGCGAAAGCGUGGGGAGCAAACAGGAUUAGAUACCCUGGUAGUCCACGCCGUAAACGAUGUCUACUUGGAGGUUGUGCCCUUGAGGCGUGGCUUCCGGAGCUAACGCGUUAAGUAGACCGCCUGGGGAGUACGGCCGCAAGGUUAAAACUCAAAUGAAUUGACGGGGGCCCGCACAAGCGGUGGAGCAUGUGGUUUAAUUCGAUGCAACGCGAAGAACCUUACCUGGUCUUGACAUCCACGGAAGUUUUCAGAGAUGAGAAUGUGCCUUCGGGAACCGUGAGACAGGUGCUGCAUGGCUGUCGUCAGCUCGUGUUGUGAAAUGUUGGGUUAAGUCCCGCAACGAGCGCAACCCUUAUCCUUUGUUGCCAGCGAUUAGGUCGGGAACUCAAAGGAGACUGCCAGUGAUAAACUGGAGGAAGGUGGGGAUGACGUCAAGUCAUCAUGGCCCUUACGACCAGGGCUACACACGUGCUACAAUGGCGCAUACAAAGAGAAGCGACCUCGCGAGAGCAAGCGGACCUCAUAAAGUGCGUCGUAGUCCGGAUUGGAGUCUGCAACUCGACUCCAUGAAGUCGGAAUCGCUAGUAAUCGUGGAUCAGAAUGCCACGGUGAAUACGUUCCCGGGCCUUGUACACACCGCCCGUCACACCAUGGGAGUGGGUUGCAAAAGAAGUAGGUAGCUUAACCUUCGGGAGGGCGCUUACCACUUUGUGAUUCAUGACUGGGGUGAAGUCGUAACAAGGUAACCGUAGGGGAACCUGCGGUUGGAUCACCUCCUUACCUUAAAG